Molecule: ribosomal RNA, 303 nt
Filed under: uncultured bacterium
Lineage: Bacteria
Description: partial 16S ribosomal RNA
Rfam family: Bacterial small subunit ribosomal RNA
Source: RNAcentral
AGCAGUCGCCGCGGUAAAACGAGGGGGGCAAGCGUUGUUCGGAAUUAUUGGGCGUAAAGGGCGCGUAGGCGGUUUGGCAAGUUUGGUGUGAAAUCUUCGGGCUCAACUCGAAGUCUGCAUCGAAAACUGCCGGGCUUGAGUAUGGGAGAGGUGAGUGGAAUUUCCGGUGUAGCGGUGAAAUGCGUAGAUAUCGGAAGGAACACCUGUGGCGAAAGCGGCUCACUGGACCAUUACUGACGCUGAGGCGCGAAAGCUAGGGGAGCAAACAGGAUUAGAUACCCGCGUAGUCCCUGUCUCUUAUAC